GUGUUUGCUUUGGCAGCACAUAUACUAAAACUGGAAUGGUACCGAGAAGAUUAGCAUGGCCCCUGUGCAAGGAAGACAUGCAAAUUCAUGAAGCAUUACCUAUAUAU
Small nuclear RNA from Erinaceus europaeus (western European hedgehog), 107 nucleotides. Lineage: Eukaryota; Metazoa; Chordata; Mammalia; Eulipotyphla; Erinaceidae. The record is from Ensembl.